UCAAGAGGAUCCGUGACCAGAGCUGUGUAGCUAAUGUUUGCUAACAGCUAACACUACAUUAGGUACCACCACGGUUGGUUCGGUUACUAUUAGCACCCGGGAGACAUCACAUCUUUACAAGAAAGUUGGGACAAUCGAGUGUUUAUUGGCAGCACUGAAUGAGUGACAGCAGCCACUUUGACUUGUCGUAGCAGCCCACUCCCCAGUGCACUUCCUCUAUUCAGACCUCAGCUCACACUUCUGCAACCUUCAGUUGCCUUCAGUGUGCACGUCUAAAGAAGUCACACAUGGCCAUUGAACCCUGGCAGGAAACAGGAUGACCGGCGCCCUCAGAGUAACUCAUGAACUGAAGUCAGGGAAAGUGAGAGACAGGCGCACAAAACGAACCAUAGACAGAUACUGUUGCUUUCAAACGUGCCUUCACUGAGUGCAGACUGUGGUCCCUCUAUUAGUUACAGGCCUGGUGCCAAGUACACAAAGACCAGUGUGAUUUGCUGAUGUCAGGAGAGAAUAUGGCCUGUCUACCUGUUUCAGUCCUACCUGUCCCAGUCGGCUUACAGUCCACUACUGUGCCAUGAUACAAUUUGAGAUUUGUGUGAUUAGCCAAUUAAAUGUUCUGACCUUUGCUAGUCAGCACCAGAAACAGUAGUCAGUUCAACUUAUUACUUAUACACAUUAAAAAUUUACGUGGCUUGCACUGA
Molecule: long non-coding RNA, 701 nt
Organism: Acanthopagrus latus (yellowfin seabream)
Lineage: Eukaryota; Metazoa; Chordata; Actinopteri; Spariformes; Sparidae
Exons: 3
Source: RefSeq, a predicted model, not a curated record